UGCGUUCUCACUAUUCUGGGAUGAGCGAUCAUAGACCACUCGGAAUCAGAAAUCAGGGGUUUAGGGUUUUGGGGGUAUAAGCGUUGUAGAGAAAAAUUGAGAGGGAAUAUACUUGAUUCAGGGGUGUGAAAACGUGGCCCCAAGUGAUUGGUGGUGAGGUUAAUAACCGUCAGAUUAGUGGAAAGAUAUCGAGGUUUAUUUUGGAGGGAGUGGAUGGCCACCGAGUCACCGACCAGCGACAAUCCUUUCAGAUGGAAAUGGAUUCAAGACAAGCUCUAUGAGACUUGGAGCAGAUGUUAUUGUCUUCAGUCGCCACUUGAAAUCAAGGUCACUGACUCAAAGUGUUGGGACUCCUUUCUUAUACAUUUUUGAGGCAGGUGGGCUACGACAAGAUAGUUGUACCAACGGUGGAUUAUGAGUUUAACUCAUCAGCCAGAACAUUCAACCCCAUAAUUCCACAUAAUGAAGACAAGUUUUCUUCUAACCUCACCAUGCUGUUACACUGGUCUCCUUAUUCAACGGAAGAGGAGUUGCUGAAGCAAUUUGAUGAUUUAGGGGAUCAUGGAACAAAACUUGUCAUUUACAAUCUUUGGUUAAAUGAUGAUGGGGACAUGGAA
Molecule: non-coding RNA, 617 nt
Organism: Prunus avium (sweet cherry)
Lineage: Eukaryota; Viridiplantae; Streptophyta; Magnoliopsida; Rosales; Rosaceae
Source: RefSeq, a predicted model, not a curated record